RNAcentral lists this ribosomal RNA (254 nucleotides) under uncultured bacterium. Its description in RNAcentral is "partial 16S ribosomal RNA". It matches the Rfam family "Bacterial small subunit ribosomal RNA", at positions 524 to 776 of the family's 1533-position model. The record is from RNAcentral.
UACAGAGGGGGCAAGCGUUAUUCGGAAUUAUUGGGCGUAAAGGGCGCGUAGGCGGCUACACAAGUGGCGGGUGAAAUCCCUCGGCUUAACCGAGGAACUGCCUGCCAGACUGUGUGGCUUGAGACCGGGAGAGGUGAGUGGAAUUCCCAGUGUAGCGGUGAAAUGCGUAGAUAUCGGGAGGAACACCAGUGGCGAAGGCGGACUUCCUGGCCUGUUCUUGACGCUGAGGCGCGAAAGCUAGGGGAGCAAACGGG